GACGAACGCUGGCGGCGUGCUUAACACAUGCAAGUCGAGCGGUAAGGCCCUUUCGGGGGUACACGAGCGGCGAACGGGUGAGUAACACGUGGGUGACCUGCCCUCAGCUCUGGGAUAAGCCCGGGAAACUGGGUCUAAUACCGGAUAUGACUCCAUGACGCAUGUUGUGGGGUGAAAGCCUUGUGCGGCUGAGGAUGGGCCCGCGGCCUAUCAGCUUGUUGGUGGGGUNAUGGCCUACCAAGGCGACGACGGGUAGCCGGCCUGAGAGGGCGACCGGCCACACUGGGACUGAGACACGGCCCAGACUCCUACGGGAGGCAGCAGUGGGGAACCUUGCGCAAUGGGCGAAAGCCUGACGCAGCGACGCCGCGUGAGGGAUGACGGCCUGGUGU
RNAcentral lists this ribosomal RNA (392 nucleotides) under uncultured bacterium. RNAcentral's name for it is "bacterial SSU rRNA". It matches the Rfam family "Bacterial small subunit ribosomal RNA", at positions 28 to 422 of the family's 1533-position model. The record is from RNAcentral.